Equus asinus (donkey) is the source of this 2260-nucleotide long non-coding RNA. Lineage: Eukaryota; Metazoa; Chordata; Mammalia; Perissodactyla; Equidae. The record is from Ensembl.
AGGAGAACUCGGAUCAUACCCUUUACAAGCACUUGGCAAGGGAAGACCUCAAAAGAGAGCUCAGAGGGGGACUGUCAACAUAGAAAUGUUUUGUUUAAAGGGAAAAAUCUUUGUUGUAGAACUGCUGUCUGACUUUCUCUUUCCUUCUUUCUUUCCUGGUUCAUUCAUUUAUCUGUUAAAAUAUUCAGCAAUGUUUGUUAGGUGCCAACUCUUUGCCGGGUAUGAAGAGAAAGGCCCCGCGCUGGCGCUGGCGGAGUUUACCGUCUAGUAGGGGCAGGGAUGAAAGAGCCAAAAGGAAAAUAAAGCAGGCCGUAGAUUAGCGCGGAGGGGCGCGGGGCAUGGCUUAAGGGGUUAGUCAAGGAAGGUCACUGGACUGUCAAAUAUCUGUAAGCGCUUUCCCCAGGGCCGCGUCGCUUCCUCUCUGACUCCAUCAGAGGGACUCUAUUCUGCGCAGUCUCUGUCCCUCUGUGUCCCUUCGUUUCAGUCCCUUUCGGAGCCUUCCCUGCUCUGCGUGUGCAUGCGGGCGAAGACCAGACCCAGAGCUCUGAGUGCGGGCCGCUCCUGCCCAUCCUCUCCUUUAACAACUCCCCCAUCCCCGGGAGGCCCGCGAGAGGGUCUAGGAAGCGCAGCCCCAGGACCCAGUCACCGUCGGGAGGCGGCGUCUGAGGUCCCGAUCACUAGAGCUGGGAGCUGCUGGAAACGCCGAGAAGUUUCCAGAGGGGGCUGGCGACAGCUACUCGUUCUCCCUCGGCGGCAGCUCUCCAAGCCUGCGCGGGCCAAUCACCGUCCUGGUAACCAGCAAUUUAUUUAGCGCCUAAUCUGUUUCCCUACGUGCUUCACGUGAAUUAUUUCAUUCAUUCCUCCUGGCAGCUUGAUUACUAUUACCCCACUUUAGGGAUCGACCCUACGCCGCGGCUAUUGCUGGCCGAGCUGGGCUUCGAACUAGACUGUCUGGCUCCAAACUACUCAGCGCUGGCCACAUUUCCCUUCGGUUCCCCACCGCAGAGCCGCAGCGAUCAGGAUCCCAUUUACAAAGGAGAAAAAUGAGGCCCGGAGAGAGUAAGCUCUGUCAGGCGCUGAGCGAAAUGUUUUAGUUCCUCAGCUCAUUUCCUUUCCUCAAGCUCUCUAAGAGGCGGAAUUCACGGGCCAGUAGCGAAGGAGGAAAGAGAACGAGAUAAGAGAGGGUUCGUUGGCGGUGGCUGCGCAGGUCGAAAUGGCAGCGUGAUGGAGGCACGGCCAGGUUUGGCUCCUACUGCUGUGUCGUCCCAGCUUCGUGGCCCUUGGAAGCAGCGUUGACCCAUCACGGCAACCAGACCCGGCACCCACCCCGGAAACGGAGAACUGGGAGAAGAGAAAUUACAGCCAAGUUCUGAAAGCGCGGCGCGGGUCCCCGCCUCCACAUUGUCAUUGUCGGAUCCCAGCCCCAUGCCGCGGCGCACCCUGCUCCACACCGCUCGUCCUGCCUGGCGUCUGCCCUGCUGGCUGCUGUCGCCACGCCGGGGCCUUUUCCCGCACCCAAUCUUCUGGAGCCCACACUCGGUCCCCGCUGGAGAUGCAGCGAAAGAGGGGAGGGGAGAGCGUGGGGGAGAGGAUUUGACCGAGAAAAGCCUUUGAAAGGCCGGUGGUGCAACUCCUGUCCAUUUCACUGAACGACAUCCUUAAGCCUUUUCUACUGGAAUUUCCCUCAGACAUGAGGCUAUCCUAGGGUUUCUGUUUGGAAGAAUUGUGGCAAGGGUUCUCUUGGCGCUUGCUUUCGGACUUCACAUGCCCAACGCCGGUGCUCGAGAAGGCUGGGGAAGAACCGUGCAGCGGCGGCACCUGCAGCUUCUCUCGGCCGCUCUGCGCCUGCACCCGUGGUUAGUUCAGGGGCACCUCGUCCACGCUGCAUGCCCAGAGCACUACUGGAUCGCCUCAGCGGUAGCCAGGAACCCCAGGCCUGGGAGAGCUAGCGGGAUCUCUGGGCGUUCAGCUUUCUGGUGCUGUUGGCAGGGGCCGAGUUUGGCAUCCGCCCAGCGUGCCGGCCCCUCCUUGCGUUCUUAACGUCUGCAUCCUCUCUGAUCCUUGUGGAAAGAUUGUUGGCGAGACUGGUGGACAUCAUACUGCAUUCUGAGGCAGAAUAAUGAGAGUGACAGCUCAGGAUCUGUUAAGCUUUCCAUAGAGGCCAGCUGCCACGACAAACUAUCUAUACCCAUCAGAUAAUUUGUCACACCCGUUCUAUGAGGGACGUAUCGUUAUCACCCCUAUUUUACAGGUAAGAGGA